GUCUGCUACUAAAUUACACAGUACACAUCACAAUUCACAAGUUACUUCAAAAAAUCAAACAAGAUAAAUUCAGAUUCGGAUAUUGAGAAAUCAAAUGGUACAAUCCAGUAAUGAAAGCUUUGUCUUCCAAAGGUUAACUUUUUGCUGUCACAUUGUAGUACAUCUCCAAGAUAUUGCUGCAUUCCCCAGAUCCAAUUCUUUGCUGUUAUCUAUUUGGACAAUUGGAAGACAAUGCCACCAUUCAAGAGGUUGUGGUGACCACCAUUUGAGUACUAAUUUACGACAACCUGAGAUUGAUUAAAUUUACAGAUAAUAAUACAAUUAAUAUUACAGAAAUCUUAGAAAAAUUACCAACCUAUUUAGUUAAGUGGUGAUAAAUAUACCCUCUAAUUACAAGUCGGCCCAGAUGUUUAAACCCCCUUCCCACCAUCAAACCGUGAUAUUAUGUAUGUACACUCUCUGUAUUAUGUUUUUAAAAAUGUUUUUACCAUUAAGAAUUCUGUUACUGACUGACAGCACAUCUAGACACCUCCCCUCCCUGUGAUGGCAUAUGUAAACGGCCCCUCUGUCAAAUCAGCAUGUCACAAUCACUUUCCAUUCCAAUUAGACCUAAGACCAAGUAAAUUCUGGCGAGAAGACGCGAAAAAAAGCAACAAAACACAAAACAAAACUAACAGCUUUUUAAACUCAAACCACAUUCAUAGUAACAAAUAAAGAACACACUGAAGGAGUAUACUAGAAAUAAAAACAAUGGGAAAAUAACCACUGGCGUAAUUUCGAUUUUGUUCAAUAAGUACUCCUUAAACCAGGGGAGACGAUGGGCAACAGCAUCAGCACAUUAGAUUAAUAUAUCUGCAACUCGGUACACAACGGUACUGUAACACCGUUAGCAAUUUCAGCUUUGACUUCAAACAUCAACCAACAGCGGAAAGAACCUAUGAAACAAAUUAGAUAUAAAGCAACAU
This is a long non-coding RNA of Daphnia pulicaria, 965 nucleotides long. RefSeq lists it as uncharacterized. The transcript is spliced from 3 exons. Lineage: Eukaryota; Metazoa; Arthropoda; Branchiopoda; Diplostraca; Daphniidae. The record is from RefSeq and is a predicted model, not a curated record.